This 705-nucleotide long non-coding RNA is filed under the name Rattus norvegicus (Norway rat). Its description in RNAcentral is "long non-coding RNA NONRATT001968". The record is from RNAcentral. Lineage: Eukaryota; Metazoa; Chordata; Mammalia; Rodentia; Muridae.
CAUUGCUACUUGGGGACAAAUUCUCCCUGGACUCUAAGUUUGGGAUUCGGGUGUUUUUCCUAAGUUAUUUUUCUGCAUGAGUCUCACUGACAGCGCCCCUACCUGGGUUGCCCACCUGUCCUCCACCGCGCCCUGGAGCCUGUGGUGUCUCAGCAGCCCCAGGAGAGCAGCGCCUUCUAUCUGGGACCCGCAGGCAGCCUGAAGAGGCCCUUGACUCUGUGGCCUAGCCACAGCUCCGGGAACCAAACUUUCCUAGCGAGCGCGCCAGGAACUUGGCUGAAGUUGGGAGGGUCGCUUACCAGCUGAUGAAGCCAUCGCCGUCGCUGUCGCACGUCUGGAAGAGCCGCCGCAGACGCUCCUCCUCGUCGGUGCUGGACGUGUCGCUGCUGCUACCGUUGCUGCUGCAAGCGCUUGCAGCCGCCAUCGCGCUCCCGCCCCAGGGAGGAACAGCAGGACCUGCACUGCUCACAGCUGCGGACAGCCCUGAACCUGCCCGACGACGGAGCAUGCCCAGUGGCCGCCCCAGGAGCGACGGAUUCCACCUUUCCGGGUUUUACCGCAAUCGCCCAAGUGGCACCUGCGGAAUGAGAUUUGCUCUGGAAAUCACAGAACCUGGGAUGCCUACCUGGAGGCCAAAGAAGACUUCAGACCUCUGACACUAAGGGAUGAUUCAGGCAGACCGCGGUGAUCUUCUGGCACUAGUGC